This 490-nucleotide ribosomal RNA is filed under the name Parnassius imperator gigas. Its description in RNAcentral is "partial 16S ribosomal RNA". The record is from RNAcentral. Lineage: Eukaryota; Metazoa; Arthropoda; Insecta; Lepidoptera; Papilionidae.
UUUUGGUUAAUAAUUUAAAGUCUAAUCUGCCCCCUGAUAAUAUAUUAAAGGGCUGCAGUAUUUUGACUGUACAAAGGUAGCAUAAUCAUUAGUCUCUUAAUUGGUGACUUGUAUGAAAGAUUUAAUGAGAUAUAUACUGUCUCUUUUUAAUUUAUAAAAUUUAAUUUUUUAGUAAAAAAGCUAAAAUAUAUUUAAAAGACGAGAAGACCCUAUAGAGUUUUAUAUUUAAUUAAAUUAAAAUUUUUUAUAAGAUUUAAAAUUUUAUUUUAAUUAAAUAUUUUGUUGGGGUGACAAAAAAAUUAAAAAAACUUUUUUUAUAAAUUUACAUUAAUAAAUGAAUAAAUGAUCCGUAAUUUACGAUUAAAAGAAAAAAUUACCUUAGGGAUAACAGCGUAAUUUUUUUUUUUAGUUCAAAUAAGAAAAAAAGUUUGCGACCUCGAUGUUGGAUUAAGAUAAAAUUUAAAUGCAAAAGUUUAAAAUUUUUGAACUG